UUGGGGCGUAGCCAAGCGGUAAGGCAACGGACUUUGGAUCCGUCAUCCGAAGGUUCGAAUCCUUCCGCCCCAGCCAU
This 77-nucleotide transfer RNA is filed under the name Caldisericum exile AZM16c01. Its description in RNAcentral is "tRNA-Gln". It matches the Rfam family "tRNA". Rfam says of the family: Transfer RNA (tRNA) molecules are approximately 80 nucleotides in length. Their secondary structure includes four short double-helical elements and three loops (D, anti-codon, and T loops). Lineage: Bacteria; Pseudomonadati; Caldisericota; Caldisericia; Caldisericales; Caldisericaceae. The record is from RNAcentral.